Non-coding RNA from Macaca mulatta (Rhesus monkey), 916 nucleotides. Lineage: Eukaryota; Metazoa; Chordata; Mammalia; Primates; Cercopithecidae. The record is from RefSeq and is a predicted model, not a curated record.
UGUGUGUGUGUGUGUGUGUGUGUGUGUGUGUUCGAGGGUGAGACAGGGAAUGACGCUUUAUAAAUAUUGAUGAGAGACACUGAAUUCAAUUGUAUCGGGUUGUAUUUAUCGAUGGUUAAAAGAUCAAAUAUUUUUUAAAGUGCUUUAACCAUUUUAAGGAUCAACAGCUUGGGGUAAAAUCCAGAAAUAUAGAUGGUGUACAAAAGAGCAAGUUGGAGAUCUGCAAGAAGUAAAACACUGCAGCAAAGCUCUUUAAUUCACUCUGCAUAAAUAGCUGAGCCUACAAAAGAAAUCUCUAGUCAGAGGUUUCCUGGAUUAUAACAAGAAUUCUCUCGAUGGGGAGAAGUGCCCUUUUCACUUGAAGACAAAGAAAUGUUUGUAAUGGAAAUGUGUGAACCAAUUUUCCAAGGAGAGCUGCUGAAAAGCACUGAUUAAAAACACAGUGAGGUGAUGAGGCAGUGAAAUAAAGCCAGAGCUGACCCACUUAGUUUGUGGCUGCACUUACUUCCGAAAGUGAAGAGAGCAACCCCGGGCCACCUUCUACAUUCUUUCCCUUCUCCCCAACCCCAAGCAGUCCCUGCCCCAUUACUGACCCUGCAACUCCGUAGACAAUCAGAACCUUCCAGCGUGCAGGAAUGUUUACUAUUUCUGGACAUUGUGUACUGGUUACUAAGCUACCGACACUGAGGAUGAAAUGGUAACCCAGUAGCCCAAAACACAAAGUCCUUCUCAACAAAGCCUAACCAACGGGCAAUGGAUUACAGUGAUUCAGAGGAAAGAUGAGAAGGUUCCUUUGUCUUGGACCUCCAUUAGACAUCAAGGAAACAUGCCAAAACAGUAAACAACAAACAAAGGCCCCACACCUUUCCAAACUACAGCCCAAAAUAAGUUGAUUGAGAAACAAAUUGCAAUGCCA